Molecule: long non-coding RNA, 780 nt
Organism: Zonotrichia leucophrys gambelii
Lineage: Eukaryota; Metazoa; Chordata; Aves; Passeriformes; Passerellidae
Exons: 3
Source: RefSeq, a predicted model, not a curated record
GGUUGCUAUAAGAAGAAGGAAGAGUCAGUGCUUAGAGGAGCUGCCUGUGAGAAACAUCGAGGAGGACUCAAGAAAACAGCAUGAUGAUGAGUUAGAGGAAGUUUAAGUUGGAUUUCAGGAAAAGUUUUUUUGCCCGUGGGAUAUUUGCUCUCUGGAACAGGCUCCCCAGGGCCGAAAAAUGCACACAAUAUUCAAGGCAAGGCUGCACUAGUGCAGAGUGGGACAAUCCCUUCCUUAUUGCUGGAUUUCUCUCUUACUGACUGAAUCCAAUUUGGUUAAGUUUUUAAAGUAAAACUGUAGGGGUUUUAAUGAAAUUUUAUGAGUGAAAUAAUUUUAUGAAUUAAAUGAUAAAGGAUAUUUCAACAAUUGGCAGAAAAAUGAAGACUCUUCACAGCCUGAAAUUUUCCUGAACAAAAAAACAUCUAAAGUUUCUCCAGCUCCCAAAGAGGCUAUUUUACAGUUCUCUGAUUUCUGCUGGGAAGUUUGUGAAGUCUGUGAUUUUGGGUGUUACAUUUUGUAAUGAGAAAGGCAAGAAGAACUGACUGAUGAGAGACCUCUAGGAGGUACCUUACCUGAUACUAACCUUUAACCUUCAAAAAUGUACCCGCAGCAGGAGAGUUGCUUCUGUUCUUUAAAUCCACAGACACAUAUACAUAGCUGCAACCAGCAGUCACAGAAACAGCUUAUUUUCACUUUUUAAUCGCAGGCUUCAAAAAUACCCUAUCACCUUGUUGUGCUAUCACAUUAUUCAAAGAAUAUUUUGUAUUCGUUCAUUUUGUA